Molecule: long non-coding RNA, 255 nt
Organism: Alosa alosa (allis shad)
Lineage: Eukaryota; Metazoa; Chordata; Actinopteri; Clupeiformes; Clupeidae
Exons: 3
Source: RefSeq, a predicted model, not a curated record
GAAAAACGUCCUUCAGUUGAGAUUUUGAAAAGAAUGCCUGGAAGAUGGACGCCAUUGAAGUUCAGCAUGGAAUAGUAAAAGGGUUGGCAAAAUGCUCAUCAAGGUCCAGUACCGUGGACUAAAAAAGUACCUCAAACUGCAGCCUGGUUUUUCUUAUGAAAGUUUCAUUGAAGAAGAAUUUGUGCCAGCAGGUUCUUCUCCUCUAAAUUCUUCACUUUUCUGAAGUGAUAUGGAGAGGUCCUCUUCAAACAAGGG